GAGUUUGAUCGUGGCUCAGAUUGAACGCUGGCGGCAUGCCUUACACAUGCAAGUCGAACGGCAGCACGGGAGCUUGCUCCUGGUGGCGAGUGGCGAACGGGUGAGUAAUGCAUCGGAACGUAUCCUGGAGUGGGGGAUAACGUAGCGAAAGUUACGCUAAUACCGCAUAUUCUGUGAGCAGGAAAGCGGGGGACCUUCGGGCCUCGCGCUCUUGGAGCGGCCGAUGUCGGAUUAGCUAGUUGGUGAGGUAAAGGCUCACCAAGGCGACGAUCCGUAGCAGGUCUGAGAGGAUGAUCUGCCACACUGGAACUGAGACACGGUCCAGACUCCUACGGGAGGCAGCAGUGGGAAUUUGGACAAUGGGGGCAACCCUGAUCCAGCCAUGCCGCGUGAGUG
This 396-nucleotide ribosomal RNA is filed under the name bacterium enrichment culture clone ALO1_GLFRUDD03GOLZJ. Its description in RNAcentral is "bacterial SSU rRNA". It matches the Rfam family "Bacterial small subunit ribosomal RNA", at positions 9 to 407 of the family's 1533-position model. The record is from RNAcentral.